Molecule: unclassified non-coding RNA, 341 nt
Filed under: soil metagenome
Description: partial contains 5.8S ribosomal RNA, internal transcribed spacer 2, and large subunit ribosomal RNA
Rfam family: 5.8S ribosomal RNA (bases 1-120)
Source: RNAcentral
GAUGAAGAACGUAGCGAAAUGCGAUAAGUAAUGUGAAUUGCAGAAUUCAGUGAAUCAUCGAAUCUUUGAACGCACAUUGCGCCCGCCAGCACUCUGGCGGGCAUGCCUGUUCGAGCGUCAUUUCAACCAUCAAGCCCCCAGGGGCUUGUGCUGGGGCCCUGCGGCUGCCCGCAGGCCCUGAAAACCAGUGGCGGGCUCGCUAGUCACACCGAGCGCAGUAGCAUAUCUCGCUCAGGGCGUGCGGCGGGCUCCUGCCGUGAAACCCCCCACUGUAACCCCAAAGGUUGACCUCGGAUCAGGUAGGAAUACCCGCUGAACUUAAGCAUAUCAAUAGCGGAGGA